CAGUAGGGAAUCUUCCACAAUGGACGCAAGUCUGAUGGAGCAACGCCGCGUGAGUGAAGAAGGUCUUCGGAUCGUAAAACUCUGUUGUUAGAGAAGAACACGAGUGAGAGUAACUGUUCAUUCGAUGACGGUAUCUAACCAGCAAGUCACGGCUAACUACGUGCCA
This 166-nucleotide ribosomal RNA is filed under the name uncultured bacterium. RNAcentral describes it as "partial 16S rRNA". It matches the Rfam family "Bacterial small subunit ribosomal RNA", at positions 352 to 510 of the family's 1533-position model. The record is from RNAcentral.